This 70-nucleotide transfer RNA is filed under the name Salmo salar (Atlantic salmon). It matches the Rfam family "tRNA". Rfam says of the family: Transfer RNA (tRNA) molecules are approximately 80 nucleotides in length. Their secondary structure includes four short double-helical elements and three loops (D, anti-codon, and T loops). RNAcentral also lists the same sequence under 1 other name. The record is from Rfam by way of RNAcentral. Lineage: Eukaryota; Metazoa; Chordata; Actinopteri; Salmoniformes; Salmonidae.
UCCCGAGUCGCUCAGAUGGUAGAGCAUGGCGCUUGCAAUGCCAAGGUUGUGAGUUUGAUUCCCACGGGAG